RNAcentral lists this long non-coding RNA (14641 nucleotides) under Zea mays. RNAcentral's name for it is "long non-coding RNA (ZMAY_LNC003884)". The record is from RNAcentral. Lineage: Eukaryota; Viridiplantae; Streptophyta; Magnoliopsida; Poales; Poaceae.
AAUGGCAAGACGGAUAGCACGAAGGCUGUGCAGGAGGCGUGGGCAUCGGCGUGCGGCGGCACCGGGAAGCAGACGAUCCUCAUCCCCAAGGGCGACUUCCUCGUCGGACCACUCAACUUCACAGGCCCAUGCAAGGGCGACGUGACCAUCCAGGUGAAUGGCAAUCUGCUGGCGACCACGGACCUAAGCCAGUACAAGGAUCAUGGUAAUUGGAUCGAGAUUCUACGCGUGGACAACCUUGUCAUCACCGGCAAGGGAAAGCUCGACGGGCAGGGGCCAGCCGUGUGGAGCAAGAACUCCUGCGUCAAGAAGUACGACUGCAAGAUCCUUCCCAACUCGCUGGUGAUGGACUUCGUGAACAACGGGGAGGUGUCCGGGAUCACGCUGCUCAACUCCAAGUUCUUCCACAUGAACAUGUACAAGUGCAAGGACAUGCUGAUCAAGGACGUCAAUGUGACGGCGCCCGGGGACAGCCCCAACACGGACGGCAUCCACAUGGGCGACUCGUCCGGGGUCACCAUCACCAACACCGUCAUCGGCGUCGGCGACGACUGCAUCUCCAUCGGCCCCGGGACCUCCAAGGUGAACAUCACCGGCGUGACCUGCGGCCCCGGCCACGGCAUCAGCAUCGGCAGCCUAGGGCGGUACAAGGACGAGAAGGACGUCACGGAUAUCAACGUCAAGGACUGCACGCUUAAGAAGACGGCCAAUGGCGUCCGCAUCAAGGCAUAUGAGGACGCUGCCUCCGUGCUCACCGCCUCCAAGAUCCACUAUGAGAAUAUCAAGAUGGAGGACUCGGGCUACCCCAUCAUCAUCGACAUGAAGUACUGCCCCAACAAGUUAUGCACCGCCAAUGGUGCCUCCAAGGUCACCGUCAAGGACGUCACCUUCAAGAACAUCACCGGCACCUCCUCCACCCCGGAGGCCGUCAACCUGCUCUGCUCCGCCAAGAUCCCAUGCACCGGUGUCACCAUGGACGACGUCAACAUCAACUACAGUGGCACCAACAACAAGACCAUGGCUGUAUGCAAGAACGCUAAGGGCAGCGCCAAGGGUUGCCUGAAGGCGCUCGCAUGCUUCUAGACCCACCAUUGACCCAUCUCUGUAGUUAUACAAUGUGUUUGGUUGUUGGAUGCUGAGAGACUGGUUCUCAGCUCAGAUGCAAGCUGCGCCUAGCCUGUGUAGGCUUGUGCAAGUACAUUGAGAGCUCUUGUUUGGUUGCUUUGAUUGCAAUUAACCAGGAUGACCAUAGCCCUUGUUUGGUUUGCUGUUUUUAUAAGUUGCAUGAACACAACUUCUGUUUGGUUAACCAGGAUGACCAUAGUCUAUAUAGGUUGGUCGCAAUACCAACUUUGCUUUGUUGUUUUUAAAUUUUAGAUUAAAACAACUCAAUUCAUAGAAGAAUGAACAAAAUUUAUAGAAAUUCAAAUAAAAUCAGUUCACAACUCGGUUCAUCUGAUGUUUCUUACUUUUACAUACUAACAAAAUUUACAACUCAGUUCACAAAUCAGUUCGAUUAAUGUUCAUACAACUCAGUUCAUUAGUUUUCAACUUAUACAUGUAUACAACUCAGUUCAUAUGAUAGUGUCUGUUGGGGUAUGCUUCGUCGCCGAAGAUCCUGUAAGAAGAAACACCUUCGGCAGAUCCUCUCAAAAGCAGUGCCGAAGCUAUCACCCAUAAAGCUUCGGCAUAGUGACAUGUCUCAAGAUGAAGGAGUGAACCGACUUAAAGAUGAAAUGACCAAUCGACCCGUGAUAGCUUAUAUUAUGAUUGUAAGCAUUUGUAAAGGGCAUGAAUGUAAUUUCCCACAGGCUGCGUCCUGUGCCUAUAAAUAGAUGAACAGUACCCCCGUACCCCCGUAUUGUUCACGCAAUCUUGUAAUCGCUUGCACACGACACUCGGAUUAUUGCCUUCUGUCAAGACGAAGGUAUAAAUGUGAUUAAAUGUUAUGUUUUAAUAUUUAAGUUUGUAUGAUGAAAUAUAUUAAUAAGUUUAUGUGUUUUGAUACAUUAUACUUUCAUGUUUCAUAUUUUAUAUAUUUUUUAUCUUUCAUUAUUUCAUAACUUUAAUCACGAAGGUAUGACCUUCGUGACCUUUGUUCAUGACCUUCGUCCGAAGAUCAUUAUACCCUUGGGGAGAUAAUGCUUCAAUGGACGAAGGGCAUUAACAUUUAACAUUUUAUGUUGCCUUGUUCUUAAUUCGAAGCAUUUGAGAACAAGUUCCCAACAUUGGCGCCCACCUCCGGUGAACUCACUUCCACUUUUUGAGCUGAUGGCUUCGUUCAACAACCAAGCUGAAGCUGCUUCGGCUACGAAGCUGGUGCUCCCGAUAACAGGCGGUUCAUCCUCAGAACCGGCCAACAAGAAGCAGAAGAAGGAGGCCCAGAGAAGGGUACAACAUGUUGGGGUGCAGGGACCCUUCAUCAAGUCAAAAUGGUCUCACAUCCCAAUUACCUUCUCCCAAGAGGACCUUUAGCUCAAGGAUUACCCUCACAAUGAUGCUAUGGUCAUAUCUUGUGUCAUCAAGGGAUUUCUUGUUCACAAUGUUCUGGUUGAUAUAAGCAGUGCAGCGGAUAUCAUAUUUGCUAAGGCCUUUAGACAGAUGCCAGAGCCAGAGGAUAAGAUCCAUGAUGCUACACACCCUCUCUGUGGUUUCGGAGGAAGGCAGAUUGUAGCACUUGGCAAGAUCACAAUGCCAGUGACCUUCGGAUUUGUCCACAAUAAAAGAACUGAACAGGUUGUGUUUGAUAUUGUUGACAUGGAAUACCCCUACAAUGCAAUUAUUGGUCGUGGAACACUCAAUGCAUUCGAAGCAAUUCUUCAUCCAGCAUAUCUAUGCAUGAAGAUACCUUCGGAUCAAGGGCCCAUUGCUAUUCAUGGAAGUCAGGAAGCUGCCAGAAAGGCUGAAGGAAAUUGGACAGACUCAAAAGCAAUCCACAAUAUAGAUGGAGCCGAAGCUUGUGAACAGUAUAAGUAUAGAAGAGAGAAGGCUGCUUCGGCUGAUCAGCCGAAGCCCAUGCUUCUAUGUGAAGACAUAGCAGAGCAGAAGGUAUUGCUGGGAUCCCAGUUAUCUGAAGAGCAGGAGAAAACCUUGAUAAGGUUUUUAUUCAACAACAAAGAUGUUUUUGCAUGGUCAGCCAACGAUCUCUUUGGUGUCAACAGGGACGUCAUUGAACAUUCACUCAAUGUCGAUCCAUCCUUCCGACCCAGGAAACAAAAGCUUCGGAAAAUGUCUGACGAUAAAGCCGAAGGUGCUCGGAACGAAGUAAAAAUACUUCUCAGUGCUGGUGUCAUCAGAGAAGUGAAAUACCCAGAAUGGCUAGCCAACACUGUUAUGGUGAAGAAGGCCAAUGGUAAAUGGAGAAUGUGCAUUGAUUUUACUGAUCUGAACAAGGCUUGUCCAAAGGAUGAGUUCCCAUAACCAAGAAUAGAUUCUCUAGUAGAUGCAGCAGCUUCGUCAGAGCUCAUGAGUCUGCUAGAUUGUUAUUCAGGCUACCACCAAAUCUGGAUGAAGAAGGAAGAUGAGUCAAAGACUAGCUUCAUAACCCCCAGUGGUACAUAUUGUUAUCUUCGGAUGUCUGAGGGGCUCAAGAAUGCUGGAGGAAGCUUCAGCAGGAUGACAGACAAGGUCCUUCACUCUCAGAUAGGCAGAAAUGUGCUAACAUAUGUUGAUGACAUUAUAGUGAAGAGCACGAAGCAAGAAAACCACAUUACUGAUCUGCAGGAAACAUUUGCUAAUUUUAGGCAAGCUGGCCUGAAAUUAAAUCCAGAAAAAUGUGUCUUCAGAGUGAAGAAGGGCAAGUUCCUUGGCUGUCUAGUUUCAACGAAGGGGAUCGAAGACAACCCAAGCAAGAUCGAAGCUAUCCUUCGAAUGGAGCCACCAAGCACAAAGAAGGGGGCCCAACGGCUGACAGGAAGACUGACAUCUUUGAAUCGAUUUAUAUCUAGAUCAGCAGAAAGAAAUUUACCAUUCUUUGAAGUACUAAAGUCAGCUGAAGUUUUUCAAUGGGGCCCAACUCAACAAAAAGCUUUCGAAGAGCUGAAGCAAUAUCUGAUCGAUUUAACAACAUUAACUCCACCCGUGCUAUGGGCUCCAUUGCUAUUGUAUGUGGCAACUUCGCACUCUGCAAUGAGUGCGGCACUUGUACAAGAGAAGCUCGAAGGACAAGCUAAAAAGCAAGUCCCAGUAUACUUUGUCUCCGAAGUUUUGAGUUUAUCAAAGAAAAACUAUACAGAAUUGGAGAAGGUGUUGUAUGCUGUGUUAAUGGCGUCCAGGAAGCUUCGGCAUUAUUUUCAAGCAUAUCACAUAAUUGUUCCUUCAUCACAACCCCUGAAGGAUACCAUGAGGAAUAGAGAAGCUACUGGAAGGAUUGGAAAAUGGGCCGCAGGGCUUAAUGAAUUCACUAUUGACUACGUGCACAGAUCUUCAAUUCAAUCUCGAGCGCUAGCAGAUUUCAUCGUUGAUUGGACGCCAGGGCUCACGAAGAGGGGACAAGCAAAGAUGCCGAAGCCUGGACAGUGUUUUGCGAUGGUUCUUGGGGAGCCUUCGGUGCAGGAGCAGCUGCGGUCCUAGUGGCACCUUCAAAAGUCAAAACAUGUUAUGCAGUCAAACUGGAUUUCAGUUGCACAAAUAAUAUUGCUGAGUACGAAGCAAUUCUAUUGGGGCUUCGGAAGCUAAGGGCAAUGGGAAUAAGAAAGGCCAUCUUAAAGACUGAUUCUCAAGUUAUUGCUAGCCAUGUGGAUAAAAGCAGCAAGGCACGAGAUCCGAAGCUUGAAAAAUAUCUGGAUGCAGUUCGAAGGUUGGAAGCUUCAUUCGAAGGUUUUUCCGUCAAGAAUAUUCCAAGAGGUGAAAAUGAGCAUGCAGAUUUGCUAGCCAAAUCAGCGGCUCAGGGGCUCCCCCUACCCUCUGAAGUAUUUUUUGAAAGAAUAAAAGCACCUUCAGUUGAGCUCAUGGAGAGAGCAGUGCUUACUAUUUCUCCAGUACACAGUGAAGACUGGAGAACUGAAAUAAUAUCUUUCCUCCAAGGCAAUUGUCUUUCAAGUGACAAAGUUUAUAACAAGAGAAUGGAGGCAAGAACAAGACCAUAUGUGUUAAUAGAAGGGGAAUUGUAUAAACAUGGAGUUUGUUCACCACUCCUUAAGUGUUUAUCAAGAACUGAAGGUAUGGAAUUAAUGAAAGAGAUACAUGCAGGUCUGUGUGGAUCACACAUUGGAUCUAGGCCCUUGUUGGGAAAAGUUUUUUGACAGGGAUUUUAUUGGCCAAAGGCAGCUUCGGAUGCAGCAGAAUUAGUCCAAAAAUGUGAAGGCUGUCAAAAAUGUGCAAGAGACCAGAAGCAACCUUCAUCUCUCACUCAGUUAAUACAGCCCACUUGUCCGUUGCAAAGGUGGGGCCUCGAUUUGCUAGGCCCACUUCCACCAGCACAAGGAAAUCUAAAAUAUGUUGUGGUGGCGGUAGAGUAUUUUUCCAAGUGGAUCGAGGCAAAGCCUUUAGCCACAAUAACUUCGGUCACUGUCCAAAAAUUCUUUUGGCAAAACAUUGUUUGUCGCUUCGAAGUACCGAAGGCUAUUACCGUAGAUAAUGGAACACAGUUCGAUGAUAAAGCUUUCAAGGAAUUUUGUGAAUAAAUUGGCACGAAGAUUCAUUUUGCAUCGGUCAGACAUCCGGAGUCAAAUGGAAUUGUUGAAAGAGCCAAUGACAUUAUAAUGACGGGAAUAAUGAAGUUAAUCUUCAAUCAGCCCAGAGGAAAGUGGCCAGAUGAAUUGAUCAAAGUGGUGUGGAUCCACAACACAACAAUAUCAAGGUCAACAGGUUUUACACCAUUCAAACUAUUGUUUGGUGACGAAGCAAUCACCCCAGAAGAAGCUAAGGCAGGAUCAAUAAGAACAGUGGCUUCGGUAGAAGACGAAGCUGAUUAUUCUGUGGCAAAAGAUGCUAUAGAAGGGAUUAGGCUUCAGGUCGUGGAGAAUAUCAAUAAAUACCAAGACGAAACAAUAAAAUGGCGUGACAGAAAAGUUCGGCUAAAGAACAUUAAACCAGGACAUUUGGUACUUCGAAGAGUGGCCAACCCAGAUACAGUAGGCAAGUUACAGCUCAAGUGGGAAGGACCUUUUCUGGUAGUAUCUUCGUCAAGACCCGGUUCUUACAAAUUGAAGGAUAUGGAUGGAAACAACAUUCCUAGAUCUUGGAAUGCGGAUGAGCUUCGGCGAUAUUAUGUCUAGCUUGAUGUAAUCUUUUUGUUUUUUUACGGCACCCUUUUCCUUUCCAAAGGGGGAGAAAGGUUUUUAAUGGGGCCAUAACAUGUAAUUUAUCUUUUUCUUAUUCAGCUCUACGAGAGCAAAAUCCCCCAAAUAUGUAAAUGUAAAAACUGAGCAUGCACCAUCGAGUGCAGGGAAAAAGGAAAAAAUAGGGAGAAGCUCGAAAGUCGUCCCUAAGGGGAUGCAGAGCACGACAAAGCUACAAAAAGCCAUUCCUAAGGGAGCGCAGCGUAAGUUUUCUGCUCAAAAGUCGUUCCCAGGGGAAUGCAGAGCUUACAGCGAAAAGUCAACGCUGAUACCGUCGAAAUAUAAGGCGAAGCGCGAAAAGUCAACGCGAUACCGCCGAAAUAGAAGGCGAAGAAGUUCAAAAGAUGUUCCUAAGGGGAUGCAGAACUUACAGCGAAAAGUCAGCGCUGAUACACCGAAAAAUAAGCGGUGAAGCUAAAAAAUAAACGGCAAAGAGACUUCGGUCAUUCCCAAGGGAAUGAAGGCUAUGGUUGUGGCUUCAUAUGCGUGUGUUUGGACAUUCAUUUGCACGACACAUUACAUCAUACAUUUGCAUUCAUAAACAUUCAUUUAGACAUACAUAGGAUGAUCAUCAUCAUAACACAGGCGGAUGCUUCGGCUCUAAAGAUAAGGCUUCGGCAAAGAGAAAAAGAAGCAGUUUCAUGCUUCGUUGUGUACAAAAAGAAGGGAAAGUGUUUUUCGCCUUCGGAUCAAAAAAUGCUAGUUUCGUCCACAGCAAAGCAGUUCAAUACAUGGACAAAAAGGUAAAGAUAUAUUACAAAGUAUGCACAAAUUUACAGAAUUAGUAUCUGAUUCUUAAAUUACAAAUAUUUUUUUACAAUGAUAUUACAAGAUUUUUCUCUAGAAUUUUUCCAGCAAGGUCUUCAGCUUUGACAUCAGUCAGCUUCGGAUCAUCUGAGCUUAGGAUCACCUGUCAAGCUUUGGCUCAUUUUUCUUCAGCAUCACCAUCCUAUACAUAUUAAAAUGGUAUGAGAGAAGUGCAGACUUCAAGGAGAAGGUAAAGUAACAGUCAUAAAUUUUCUACCGGCUUAAGGUGGCUUCGAGCUUCGUCGCCAGCCAUUUUUCGCCAGCCUUUUACCCAAAUUUGAGUUAUGAAUCUGUUUCCUAUACUCCGAGCUAGGCUAGGGAUAUCAAUUAAAUCUAUCGGAGAUAAGCUAAAAUUUGGUCUGUUGACAAUUUUUCCAUGUUCACAGCCAGAUUUUAUGAAGGCAACAGCUGUGCCCCGAGAAGCUAGCAGAGCGCAGAAAUCGGCGUGUCCACCUAUAACUUCGUUGAGUGCAUCAACUUUGCCCUCAAUAUGUUCGAAGGUUUCUAGCAGGUUCUCAACCGAAGGACUGAAUUUCUCAGCACCGGCUCCGACCGAGUUGAAAACCUGUUUUAGCCGCUGCAGGCACCGGUUGCUGAAGUCCACGCAUUUUUCUUGAAGUUCUUUCAGUGAUUUCCGCAAAUUUGAAUUUUUCUCAGCUUCAGCUUCGAGUUUGGCUUCGAAAUGUUUCUUUUCCAUGGAGAGUUCACUAUUCAAUCUAGCAAUUUCGGCCUGGGCUUCCGCCAGUGAACCUUCCAUGGUUUGAAGUACGAAGUCUUUCUUUUCCAGAGUAGCCUCAUGGUCUUUAAUCUUCUUCUCCAGGCCCUCAAUUAUAACUUCGUUCUUUUUGUCCUCGAGGUCUUGUUGCAUCCUCAGGACUUUGCUUAUCAGUAAGCUCUGAUAACAUAAGCUUCAUCAGAAAACAAUCUUCAUAUCAAAACAAUGAAAAGUUAAUAAUUUUACCUUAAAGUUAGCAUAAAAUAGGCUACCGGCGAUAUGUUGUCGUUGAUACCUGCUAAGGUCUGCCUCAACCUUCGGGAGGCCAACACUCUUUGAUAUAGUGCCGACAACCUUUGCCCCAGUGUGGUCCCAAAGACAUCCUAAGCUUUCUUCGUUAACUCCCCCGAAGAGUAGCGCACCUGGUCUAUAUCUGCAAGAUAUAGCAUACUCUUUCAGUUCUUCUUUUUCAGCCUUCGACAAUUCUUUCCCAAGUAUAUCUUGGAAGUUGAAGUCCUCUUCUUCCGAAAUAUCCUCGGCUUUCUCCUUUCCUUUUCCAGCCACUAUGCCCGGGAUCUCUUCAGCGGCUACAGCAGCUUCUUCCGCGGCCGCAUCUAGAAGCAUUGUAUCAAUUUUAGAGAGUGUGGCAUCCAGAUUCACAUCUUCAGCGGUUUCAGCUUCGACACUUUUGGCUUCGGCGUGUGCAGCUUUGGCAGCAGCAGAGAUCACAAUAGCUGGAGUCUUUGACGCCGAUGCUAGCGGCGGCGUCUGCUCGAUAACUUCAACUACACGAAUAAUUCUUCGUUUUUUCGGCUCAUCUGGAUUCUUCGCUGCCGAAGGCUCCUUUUUCUUCUGAAAAAGCUUCGUCAGAUGUGGCCCUAGUGGACUUAUCUUGAUAGGCAAAGAUUCAGUCAUUACCUUUAAAAUUUCUUCUACAUCGAUAGCAGGAGGUGUUGAAGGAGCUUCAUCCUCAAUUUCAGUUGUUUUUCGUUUCAGAGCCGAAGCUUUCUUUUUCUUCAAAGCAGUUAUCUUCGGCUCAGGGCUUAAUUUUCUUUUCUUCAAAGUUUCUUUAUCCUUUUUCACCAAUUUAGUAGCCUCUUUAUCUAGGACGCUAGCAACUCUCUUUCUCUUCUGUCCUUCGGCACCUCUGUCCAAUCGCUCAUAGUCAGGAUACUCAAAGUUCGGAGCAUCCAUCACCCGGUUUAACCUUCGCUUCGGACGAGUGCCGAAGGCUGCAGUCAUUAGUUGAUCUUCUUUUUUAGAAUAAUUCCCAAGGAUCUCGUUGCACAUAACUUCAAUCGUGUCUAACCAUUCUUGGCAAGGUACUUUGAAGUGUUUCUUGAAUUUAAAAUAAUAGGGCAACUGAACAAGUUCCUUCUUUUUAUUUUCCCCUCUGAGCUUCGGCAUGUCCCAUUCUUUCAAAGUUGGGAACACUCUAAAAGCCAGGAAUUCUUGCACUAGAUCCCUAGUACCAAUGUGCUCUGCAAUACUCGAAAUUCGCCUAGUGCAAUUUGGCUUGGACUCCCCGGUUUCAUGUCGCACCGGGGCCUAGUCUCUCCGAAGAUUAAUUCUAAUGGGCUUUGAACCAACUUCUCCUUCUUCUCAUCAACUUUGACAUAAAACCAUUUAGUCUUCCAGCCAGCUGGCCACUUGGUACGAUAGUUGAUAACUGGAGACUUCGCAUCUUUGCGAUAAGCAAAAUUGUAGCAGCCGAAGUUUUCGUGCAGCCCAUCUUCUCUAGCUUUUGUUUGAUAAUGAAGCUCAUGUACUCGGCAGAAGCCUUCGGGAAACGGUUCUACCCCCUGGCUUCGGAGGGCCCAUAUGUAGACGCUAAGCCUAACGAUGGCGUUAGGAGUUAGCUGAUGAAGAUAAAUCCCAAACUUCUUCAAAACAUCAGCAAUCUUCUCAUUCAAAGGAAAUCUUAAUCCUGCUUUGAAGAAGCUUUUAAAGACUACCACCUCAUCCUUUUUCGACUUCGGAGUAACUUCCUCUCCGCCAAAGCGAAUUAGCUCCUUUUUGGCCUCACUGAAAUAGCCUAACUUCAUCAACUUAGGCAUAUCAUCUUCGGUAAUGGUAGACCUCCCAAACUCCAGGUGGCUGGGUUUAGAUGGCACGACACUAUAGUCAUCUUCAGAUUCAUCUUCCUCAGCAUCAACCUGCUCAGCCUCAGCGGUAGGUGCAUCUUCAUCAGAAACAUCUUCCGACACUACUAGCCCCGACCGUUUCAUCACUUCGGAAAUCAGAGCAGUCUUAGCAGUUUCACUUCUUCCCGGUCAUGUGUAACCCUAGCAGUGAAACGUACCCUUGCCAUUUGAUGAUGAAUUCCUCACAAUUUUUUAUGAAAUUGUUGACUUUUUAAAUUUUCCCGAAGCUCUUCCUCUUGUGACGAAGCAAAGUCAACAGCGGUGCUUCGGUUGAGUGCGAUGAACAAGCUUCGGCUAUGGUCAAAUUUUUGGCAGCAAAACAGGGCAAUAGCAAUGAAUGUUGUGGUAACUUCACACCUACCCAUUUGUUUAUAUAGUGUCAUAGGUGGGGAGGUGAAUCGUCCAGUCUUCCGCACCGGACGAACAGUCGCCCGCACUCACUGAGUGGUGGGCCACAGAACCCGAGAAGGUGAAUCGCUAGGACGCGUUUACCCGCUGCAUGGAGGGACCAUCUCGCGCUCGAAAUUUUGUGAUCGAUUCUCGGCAACGAGCUCAGGGAAGGUGUUUUCGGAUCUUCAGCUCUCCGAAGCCUAGGAGACUUUUUCACGGAUCAAGCUCGUUACGAAAAACGAUCUAGCACCGCGAAGGGGCUACUGUUGGGGGUAUGUUUUGUCGCCGAAGAUCCUGUAAGAAGAAACACCUUCGGCAGAUCCUCUCAAAAGCAGUGCCGAAACUAUCACCCAUAAAGCUUCGGCAUAGUGACAUGUCUCAAGAUGAAGGAGUGAACCGACUUAAAGAUGAAAUGACCAAUCGACCCGCGAUAGCUUAAAUUAUGAUUGUAAGCAUUUGUAAAGGGCAUGAAUGUAAUUUCCCACAGGCUGCGUCCUGUGCCUAUAAAUAGAUGAACAGUACCCCUGUACUGUUCACGCAAUCUUGUAAUCGCUUGCACGCGACACUCAGAUUAUUGCCUUCUGUCAAGACGAAGGUAGAAAUGUGAUUAAAUGAUAUGUUUUAAUAUUUAAGUUUGUAUUAUGAAAUAUAUGAAUAAGUUUAUGUGUUUUGAUACAUUAUACUUUCAUGUUUCAUAUUUUAUAUAUUUUUAUCUUUCAUUAUUUCAUAACUCUAAUCACAAAGGUAUGACCUUCGUGACCUUUGUUCAUGACCUUCGUUCGAAGAUCAUUAUACCCUUGGGGAGAUAAUGCUUCAAUGGACGAAGGGCAUUAACAUUUAACAUUUUAUGUUGCCUUGUUCUUAAUUCGAAGCAUUUGAGAACAAGUUCCCAACAGUGUCACACCCAGAUUUAAGGGCAAAUCCAGGCGCUAAUUAAAUAUGUGGGGUCAAGUCUCACACAUAUGGUAACUCAUGGUACAAAAAUGAAUGUCACAUCUUUAAUAUAUAAUUUAGUUCUAUACAAAAUAGUUAAAUAAUUACAUCAUACGAAGACAAUGAUCCAGCAACCACAGUUGACUGGGAGACGACGGCCUAGACCACACACGAACUCAUCGUGGCAUCCUUCUUGCUCCUUAUCUUUUGGUACCUGUCCUUGACCUGGGUGAUGUGAGUACAACAAUGGUGAGCUCACUUACGUUCAUCGCUCAACAAGUUGUGGGGAAUAAUGUGCAUGAGCUCACUUACAGUGGGGCUCAUGUGAAGUGUAAGGCUUACCAAAGGAGAUGGUUAAAGUUGAGCAUUGCUUUUAGAGUUGGUCAAAAAUUUAUUAGCCGUUACUAAGUGUAAGUAGAUACGAACCCAAAUAAAUAAGAGAUCACAAUUAAUAAUAACACCCACAAUGCAAUGCAAAUGACAAAUUAAGUUUAGUUCCAUAAAUUACUCAUGUGAGGGUCCGAGCCGCUCAUGACCGUGAGCAUGGCUGAUGUACCAGUUUUACACUCUGCAAAGGUUGCACAUCUUUACCCACAAGUCGUGUUACCCAUAUGCCACGGGGUCAUGAAUCCCAUACAUCUCUACCGAGGAGGCGAGGCAGGGUAGCACUAUGAGGCCUUUACAAAGUUCAACUAGCUUCAGUAAACCCGCUACAAUUUCUGAGAAGGGCGAUAUAGGAUCCCUCGUUCGAAAAGCCAUCGCAGCAUGAUCGACCCGAGAAUCUCUCUCUACCGCAGCUCCUCUACCCCCCUUACCCCUUUCGGAUAAGGUAGUCCUCCACUAACUUUCCUAAUUAGUCAGCCAAGGGCGUCCCAUACCACCCUUGUGGUAGCACUGUUUUUUCGGGUAGUCGCUCCAUGUUCCAAUUAACAUAAUGAUCUUAUCAUGAACAAUAAUUAAAACAACAACAAAAUUGGAACAUGAUCAUAAUAUAACAUUAAUUUUCCAAAACCAGGUAGAGCAAUAGCAAAUCUACCCAAUAGUUUUUUUGUUUGCAAGGUGUGGGAUAAAUAAUGCUAAGGAAACCUAUUGGGUCCCAUCAAAUUAACCUCAGCAUGUCACGGUGAUUAAUAGGAAACAUUCUUAGGUAGAGAAAAGUGAUCAAGGGCACAACUUGCUUUAACCUUGAGAUUCCCAAGUACUUCUCCAAGUUAAUCUUCAAGUUUCUCGUGACCUCACUGCUACUCGUAGCAAAACAUACAAAUAGGCAAGAAGUUCAUAAAAUAACAGUACACCAAACAUGAGAACAAAUAGUGUAAAAUAUUCUACACGCUGAUACGAGAUCGUAGGUUCGAGAAUCACUCAAAUCGAAGUUACGAUUAAGAAGAUAUGAUUUUCAGAAUAUUUUGAUGAUUAAGUAAUUCAAACUAGGCCUUAGAUUGAUUUUAUAAAUCAUGUGAGAUAUACCUUAAAUAUUAACUCUAAUAUAAGUCAUGUCUUAGUUAAAGAUCAUCUUCUAUUCAAAUAAUAAUUAUGAACAUAUUACUUUAAUUAGAUAGAUUAAUCUACUAUACAUAGGAUAAAUAAGUACGUAAUUACAAAAGAAUUAGUAAUGGAGUGAAAAUUAAUGCGGAGGCUCUAUUAGAACCUUCAAUUAGUAAUAGCAAGAUAUAUAUAAGAUAGUAGAGUAUAGUUUAAAUGUUGGCAUUGUUCAUUCUUUCUUUUGUUAUUUAAUUUAGGCUAUCCACAGUGGUUAGUGGUUACGUCUGAAGGGUCCAAACAAUGCAUGAAGAGUUUGAGGACGGGAAGUCUGCCCUAAAAAUAGCAAUGCAAACACAUGGUGUCCAUGCCAUACAUAUAGCACACUAAUUUUAUCAGUAGAACAUGGUAUUUAUAGGUCCUAGUGCCCAGGCAACAAGAGACACGAAUAAAGCAUCGAUCACAAUAAGAUGGCGUGUAUAGACAAUGCAAUGAGAGCCUUGUUCCUUUUAGCGCUCUUCUGUGUCGUGCAUGGUGAGAAGGCAAAGUCAAAGGACAACGAUGCAAAAGCGUCCGGGCCCGGUGGGUCCUUCGACAUCACCAAGUUGGGCGCCUCCGGCAAUGGCAAGACGGAUAGCACGAAGGCUGUGCAGGAGGCGUGGGCAUCAGCGUGCGGCGGCACCGGGAAGCAGACGAUCCUCAUCCCCAAGGGCGACUUCCUCGUCGGACCACUCAACUUCACAGGCCCAUGCAAGGGCGACGUGACCAUCCAGGUGAAUGGCAAUCUGCUGGCGACCACGGACCUAAGCCAGUACAAGGAUCAUGGUAAUUGGAUCGAGAUUCUACGCGUGGACAACCUUGUCAUCACCGGCAAGGGAAAGCUCGACGGGCAGGGGCCAGCCGUGUGGAGCAAGAACUCCUGCGUCAAGAAGUACGACUGCAAGAUCCUUCCCAACUCGCUGGUGAUGGACUUCGUGAACAACGGGGAGGUGUCCGGGAUCACGCUGCUCAACUCCAAGUUCUUCCACAUGAACAUGUACAAGUGCAAGGACAUGCUGAUCAAGGACGUCAAUGUGACGGCGCCCGGGGACAGCCCCAACACGGACGGCAUCCACAUGGGCGACUCGUCCGGGGUCACCAUCACCAACACCGUCAUCGGCGUCGGCGACGACUGCAUCUCCAUCGGCCCCGGGACCUCCAAGGUGAACAUCACCGGCGUGACCUGCGGCCCCGGCCACGGCAUCAGCAUCGGCAGCCUAGGGCGGUACAAGGACGAGAAGGACGUCACGGAUAUCAACGUCAAGGACUGCACGCUUAAGAAGACGGCCAACGGCGUCCGCAUCAAGGCGUAUGAGGACGCCGCCUCCGUGCUCACCGCCUCCAAGAUCCACUAUGAGAAUAUCAAGAUGGAGGACUCGGGCUACCCCAUCAUCAUCGACAUGAAGUACUGCCCCAACAAGUUAUGCACCGCCAAUGGUGCCUCCAAGGUCACCGUCAAGGACGUCACCUUCAAGAACAUCACCGGCACCUCCUCCACCCCGGAGGCCGUCAACCUGCUCUGCUCUGCCAAGAUCCCAUGCACCGGCGUCACCAUGGACGACGUCAACAUCAAGUACAGUGGCACCAACAACAAGACCAUGGCCGUAUGCAAGAACGCUAAGGGCAGCGCCAAGGGUUGCCUCAAGGAGCUCGCAUGCUUCUAGAACCACCAUCGACCCAUCUCUCUAGUUAUACAAUGUGUUUGGUUGUUGGAUGCUGAGAGAUUGGUUCUCAGCUCAGAUGCAAGCUGCGCCUAGCCUGUGUAGGUUUGUGCUGGUACAUUGAGAGCUCUUAUUUAUUUGCUUUGAUUGCAAUUAACCAGGAUGACCAUAGCCCUUGUUUGGUUUGCUGUU